Molecule: ribosomal RNA, 497 nt
Filed under: uncultured bacterium
Lineage: Bacteria
Description: partial 16S ribosomal RNA
Rfam family: Bacterial small subunit ribosomal RNA
Source: RNAcentral
GAUGAACGCUGGCGGCGUGCCUAAUACAUGCAAGUCGAGCGAACAGAUGAGGAUCUUGCUCCUCUGACGUUAGCGGCGGACGGGUGAGUAACACGUGGAUAACCUACCUAUAAGACUGGGAUAACUUCGGGAAACCGGAGCUAAUACCGGAUAAUAUAUUGAACCGCAUGGUUCAAUAGUGAAAGACGGUUUUGCUGUCACUUAUAGAUGGAUCCGCGCCGCAUUAGCUAGUUGGUAAGGUAACGGCUUACCAAGGCGACGAUGCGUAGCCGACGUGAGAGGGUGAUCGGCCACACUGGAACUGAGACACGGUCCAGACUCCUACGGGAGGCAGCAGUAGGGAAUCGUCGGCAAUGGGCGGAAGCCUGACGGAGCAGCGCCGGGUGAGUGAUGAAGGUCUUCGGAUCGUAAAACUCUGUUAUUAGGGAAGACCAAAUGUGUAAGUAACUAUGCACGUCUUGACGGUACCUAAUCAGAAAGCAACGGCUAACUACGUG